This is a long non-coding RNA of Pomacea canaliculata, 980 nucleotides long. RefSeq lists it as uncharacterized. The transcript has 4 exons. The record is from RefSeq and is a predicted model, not a curated record. Lineage: Eukaryota; Metazoa; Mollusca; Gastropoda; Architaenioglossa; Ampullariidae.
ACUGAGUUUGGUCCCAUCAUCUACAAGCUAGAGCACUUGCAAACAUUUCAGUACAGACGACAUUUCGUGAUGCAGAUGAUGACCACCCUAGCAUUGAAAUUGUCUUGGCCAGUCCCUUCUAGAGUCAGUGAAAGCUGGUGUCUUUUACAUGCAAAAUUUUGUGUGUACGUGAGGAUGGCAGGUCACAUGGAUCACAUCGGGAUUUUCAUGUAAUCACUUUCAAUACGAGACAUUGAUUCCUUGAGAUUAAUCCAAGAUUGUCGUAACGUAAAGAUUAAUAAUUAUUUCUAUUUCACCACCACCUGCCCAACAUCAACAGUCCUCCCCUCCACUUCCUCCCACUACUACAACCUCAGCUAUAAAAGUUUCAGCAGGUUCCCUCUCCUGCGUCUCCCAGACAACAGAAGAUUGGUUCCCGCUGAUCAACAGGACUGCAGUCGUCAGCAGCAUCAGCCCAACAGAAGACAGGAACAUCAGAGGUCCCGUAGUCUGACAACAAACUUCUUCAUUACCAUGAAGACUCCGCGCCUCAUAGUCACUCUGUGCUUGAUGCUCGUCCUCGAGGCGAUGAUCGCUGAAACUUUUAGCACAGAGGAGGAGGAAGGCCUGCAAAAACGAGGAAAGUUCAUUGAAAAAUUAAAAAACUUUGGCACGAAAAUCAAAGGCGCUUUCGGAAGAAUAAAGAACAAAAUUAAGAACAUGAGAACUAAACCUCAACCUGAAGAACAGCCAGAUGGAGAAAACCAAGGCGGGGAUGAAGCCUCUGAACAAGGCGACAGCCAACAAUAUCUGAAAUAAGUGACAGGAGGUCAACGAUGUCGUCUACCUGUCUCCCUAACAGGACCUAUGAGGACUUCGCUCAGCGGUCAACAAGUUUCAGCUCUUAUAACAUUCUUGUUUAUAUAACAAAUGUUUGCUUUUGCUGGACUUUUUCGUUAAAUUCAAUUUCCUAAUAAAAAAAAAACUUUGCAUUUAUUCAG